Molecule: long non-coding RNA, 1882 nt
Organism: Drosophila virilis
Lineage: Eukaryota; Metazoa; Arthropoda; Insecta; Diptera; Drosophilidae
Source: RefSeq, a predicted model, not a curated record
UUAGAGCAUCUGGUUUGUUGCUUCACGGAUUUGUUGCACUCGCGUGUCUAAUCGGGCUUUAAAUCAGCAAGAAUCAGUUCAAACUGAUCACAAUAUACAUUAAGAUCGUUGAGUAACUUAUACAGAACGCCUUCAAUCGAUGUCCGACAUGUCCGCCUAUAAAAGUAUUUGUUUCUAUGCAAACUAAUCUCUUUGCAUUUACAUAGGACAGUAAAUUGUUGCAGACAGUACGUUUGUCGGAGUUUGGCGGAUUGCUACUUAUAAGAAAUACAUAUCACAGGACUGAUUGGUCGAUUGGCCGUCUGCUUGUACCGAUGCAAACUAGUGUGCCAGUUUCAAAGCUUUUGUCAUGAAAUCUAACAGAGAUCCGUCAUGGUUUUACAGGCAGAUCGGUGCACUAUGAUUGUACUCAAAAUAUAUUUCUAGUAUGCCGUCAACUUAGUACCAAAUGCAAACCUGGCACAAUAACAACAGCGAAGAGAGCACGCGCCAAAAACUCACCAAAAAUGAAGCGACAAUGCAGCAGCAGCAGCAGCAAGGCCAUUAUGCCGCACACACACACACACACACACACACACAGCGACAAAUUGGUCUGACAGCAUCGGAUGGGGCAUUUCUAACUAUGCGACCUCAACACCAGUAACCAACACCAACAACAUGCACCGCACCCUCUGCUUCUUCCAACCGAAAACUCGCAACAACAAAUGAAAAUUCCAAGAAUAUUCGCAUUCGCAGUGAGUUUUGGCUUUUGCGGCUGCCAGUCGCUGUUUACUUGGCUUCCCCGGUUAUUUACGGCCUGCAAAUUUUUUGCUAUCCUAUUUGGUUUCUAUAUACCAAUUUUUUGUUUCUUUUCUUUUUUAUUUAUUUAUUUUUUUUUUUGGUUCAUUGUUUGUUGCUGGCUCGUUGCCAAAAGGGAAAUAUGUGUUGUGAAAAUUGCACAUUUUUAUAGCCAUCGCUAGGUGCUAAACUAUGGGUAUCUGCUCCUUUGCUCCCACUCCGAUUCUGACCUUUUUAAUUGCGCUGCAAUUUUUUAGUAUCGAUUUUUGAUUUGUUGUUAAAAUAAGAGAAUUUUCAACGCAUUUCGUGUAAUUUGAUUAUGGUUCCUCGUUUUCGCCACGCCAUUCGCUAAUUAGGCCCAUGAAGCUGCGACGUGUAUGGCUCGUUUGGCUUGUUGCAUAAUUUAUUUUUCAUAUGUAGCAAAGCCGCACAAUUUGCAUAUAUUUUGUAGUCGUGUAAACAAGUAAGCAAGUUAGUUAUUACGAAUGUGGGAUGCUCUUUCGAAUUAUGCAGACAUUUUCGCGCCGAUGCCCUUGAGGCCUUAAACCGAGCACUGUUCACAAUUAACAUUUGUUUUUGAUAAACACUUUCGAUAGAUUUUCAGAUAUGCGAAUCAAUAUCGAAGCACUAUAAGCACCUAAUUGUGCUUAUUAGAUAAUACUAUUAUUUUUUUAUUAUAUGUUGAUAAAAUGUUUGUUUGUUUAUAUAAGCUUAAAGUAAUUGAUAUAUGGCGUUUUACACAAUGUUCCAUAUUUAUUCAUGAAAACCAACAACUCCAAGUUCCAUAAAUACAAUUCAUAAAUAACAUGGUUAGCGCAGCUAUGAAUAAAAUGCUAUGCUCGUCAAAUACAAAUAAAAUAUAUUGAUUCUUUGUGAAAUAAUUUCAAUGCAUAUAGACCUAAAUUAUGAAAUUAUGGCUUUAUAUAUAUCCGAAGCAAAUAUAUUACUCAGCAUAAUUAAUAAAAGCUGAUUGUAUUCCGAAUAUUUAGCUGAUGCUAUCCAGAAUAAUAAUACAUGUCAACUUCUUAGCCAAGGCAUUACAUUAAUAAAGGAAACACUAAAUUGUGACAGUCUUAACUGAAAGCCAAAAUUUUCGAUUUAUUAU